UUUGUCUAGACUUGCCUAGAUCAAAAUUUUGGUUAUAAGGGGAAAGGUCUAUUGAAUCGAAUUUUAUGCAUGACAGUUAUUGAAAGGUUUUUAGCAUCGUUCAACAUAUGAAUAUGAUUCAUGUGAUGACUAAUUUAACGGAGCGCGUAAAACAGUAAAAACUCUUUGCUCUGUAGACAGUUCAACCAUUUUUAAUCGAACUGAGGGGACGAAUUUCUAAGUCGUUUGAACAUUCGAUUAUAAUUUUCAUGUACAAUUUAUGCAGGUUUAACAUGCUCGCACAAUGCAUUCCAAACUCCCGGAGGUAAUACAGUUUGGGUGUUUACAACCAAACUAAAGCCGGGGUAAUUUCUAAAGGGUCACUUUUUUGAGGCACCCUGCAGUUCGGUCCAGUAAAGACAAAACAAAACAAAACAAAACAAAACAAAACAAAACAAAACAAAACAAAACAAAACAAAACAAAACAAAACAAAGCAAAACAAA
This is a non-coding RNA of Paramuricea clavata, 483 nucleotides long. The record is from the annotation of a GenBank genome assembly. NCBI's taxonomy places the organism in Eukaryota, Metazoa, Cnidaria, Anthozoa, Malacalcyonacea, Plexauridae.